This 21-nucleotide unclassified non-coding RNA is filed under the name Mus musculus (house mouse). RNAcentral's name for it is "oocyte_clustered_small_RNA7". Lineage: Eukaryota; Metazoa; Chordata; Mammalia; Rodentia; Muridae. The record is from RNAcentral.
AUGUGACACAGUAUCUACGGU